This is a long non-coding RNA of Cavia porcellus (domestic guinea pig), 6949 nucleotides long. RefSeq lists it as uncharacterized. Lineage: Eukaryota; Metazoa; Chordata; Mammalia; Rodentia; Caviidae. The transcript is spliced from 2 exons. The record is from RefSeq and is a predicted model, not a curated record.
AGUUCGCCCAGGCGCCUGCGCGACUUUCCGACUUUUCGCAGCCGGUCUGCUUCAACUGCCCUCCCGGAAGUGUCUGUGCGGGUGAGCUCGGGGUCCGAGUUCCUGCUUUUGUCCUUUGAACCGGGAGUGGUUUUGACUUCAGAGCAGGCUAUUGGAAUUAACCCUGAUUUCCAAACGGUUGUGUGUCUGGGCUCCUAAAACUUGAGUCUCUGAGUUUCUUUAGUCUUCUCUUUCGAAGGGGGCUAGUAUUCCUGCCUUAUGUAGUUUUCUUGAAAAUUAUAUGAGAUUAGGUCCGUAAAACACUCAGUACUGUUCUCCAACAUCCUAAGUGCUCAAAAAAUACCUUAUUAUUACUCUUAAUUUUUGCCGUGCUGGGACCCAGGGAAUGAUAGACAAGUACCGUUGAGCUACACUUGCAGGUCGCUAUCAUGAUUGUUAUUUGUGGUAUGGGAGAGUGAACCCAGGGCCUUUCUAAUUUGUUGUUGUUGUUGUUUGCGACAACGUGUAACUAACUUGUCCAACAGCAUUAAAAAAAAAACAAAAAACAAGACAGUUUGCUUAAGUAGAAGCAAUGUGAAGAGUGCCUAGAGCUUUUGAAUUGGUCUAGGUGUGACACAGUUAAUUGCUAGAUGAAUCUAACCUGUUUUCUAAUUUGUAACAUUAGGAUUUAUACACAUCUCAAUGAACUCCCAGGGUGACCCCACGGCAAUGUGAGUGAAAGUGUCUCUGGCCAGGGUGGAUCCUUGCUUUAGUUUGAUAAUAGAAAUUAAAAUGAAAGCUACAGUGUAAGUUUACAGGCAAAAACUUUAAAAAGGAAAGAACUACAGCUUGAGUAGUAGCUGUAGGGGCACACUAAUGAAGAGCAUCAGACCUAUCUGUUCACAAAAGAAAGACCAGUCUGAUAGGUUAUUGUCUCAGUCCUGAUUUCUUUGCUUCAGAGGAAUCCUUAUGACUUGAGAGGCAGUUUGGUGCCCGUAAGAUGAAUCGUCAUGACUUGAGGGAUACUUUCAGUCAUGUGAAGCUGUUUAGGGCAAUAUUCUGAGCAUCACUGAUUGUGCUGUAAAUCUCUUACCCUGGUAUCUGUAGUCUUCAAGGGCAAUGAAAUAGGCUAGGUAAAUUUGUGGCUAAUAAAGCUUGUCGUUUUAGACUGAUAUUCCCUAAAUGACUAACAUGCCUAUAUGCAGACCUGAGAAGAAUAUGACGCACAGCUUCACAAGAUGAAGUUCAUGGAAACUAUACACUGGAAAAAUCAGCACUGUCAAAUUAAUUGCAAAUAUUUUCUCCCAGUUUGGUGUUCGACUUUUUUUUUUUUUUCUAUCGGUACCAGGGAUUAAACUCACGAAUGCCUGCUUGCAAGGCAGGUGCUUAUGCUGCUGAGCUAAAUCCCCAGCCCCUGUUUUUGGUCUUUUUGAGACAGAGUCUCACUAUGUAUUUCAAGCUGGCCUUGAACUCACUUUGUAGCCCAGGCUGGUCUCAAACUUGCAAUGAUUGUUCUGCCUCAGUCUCCCAAGUGCUGGGAUUAUGAGCAUGCACCACCAUGUACAGCACUUGACUUUUGACUUUUCCUAGAGUGUUUUCUGCCAUGCAAAAUGUUAGGUAUUUAUGGGAUUGAAUUUAUCCAUAUUUCAUUUUUCUUUGGUCCUAGAUUUUGUGUUAUAAUCAUAAAGACCUGCUAAAGUUAAAAAAAAAAAAUCUCCCUUGGUUUAUCCUCUUACUUUUAGGGAUUUUUUUUUUUUUUUCUUUUUGAGACAGGAUCUCCAUAUGUAUUUCAGACAGCCCUUGAACUACUGUGUAGCUCAUGCUGGCCUCAAACUCAUGAUGAGCCUCCUAUCCUGGGAUUACAGGUGUGUGCCACCACAUCCCCAGUUUUAUCUUGCAAUCUUUAAACCAUUUGGAAUUUAGUAAGGCAUAUGGAUGAUAACUUCCUUCCUUCUUCCGUUUUUUUAAAUGUUUUUAUCCUCUUUUCUCUUAAUUUUUUGUAUAUAGAGAAGGCAUGUUGGUUUCUUUUUCCUUUUCUACUUUUAUUAGUUAAUAUUUGUAGUAUGUAAUGAUUACAUUCACUGUAGAGAAUUGGUACACGUGUAUAACACAUUCCAAUUCUUUUAUUUUUCCCCCUCCCUCUACUCUGUUUUAUUUUCUCAGCAUUAGAUUCAUUUAUUUAUCUUAUAAGACCUUAUACAGUUAGUUACCAUACACACAGAUUGAAAACCAAACGAAUAGGGCCACCAAAUAACACAUAAAACAUAUAAGAAAAUUGUACUAAAUUAAGGUGAAGAGGAAAUUAAAAUUUUAAAAGCCUUCCAAGAAAGCCCACCACGAGUGCCCGCCAAAGCAAAACAGACAUGUCUGGACAAGCCUGCUAACAGAACAUUUCUUUGUGUAACCCAUGCUUGUUUAACUGAUGGCCUUGCAAUGUAACCUGAGAUGUUUAAACUCCCUUGUCAAUUUGUGAUGUCACCCAACCCUUCAGUAAUAAUAUAGCAAACCUGCUUUUGUACCUCCCACUUGCUCUCCCUAUAAAAGCUCCUAAAACCUGUGGAGCAGGACUCUGACUCUUUGGGAGUGAUCCUAGUCAGGCCCACCAAUGUAAUAAACUGCCUCUAAACCUUCAUGCGAUUUCUUCCUGUGUUUAGUCCAUUUUUCGUAAUAUUCUUGUUUCCCUGACCAGGAAGUGUGCUGACUGCUUAAGUCACCAACUGAGGUCUGGUGGCCAAAGCAGAGACCUCUUCAAUUUCCUUGGCAAGAAGGCGUGCCCUCCAGACCUUCUUGGAGUCCCCUCAGAGGCCCCAGGCCACAGGCCCCUGCUCAGCACUAAUGGCCUUCAUCUGCCUCAAAAAGAGGAGAAAGGACACAGUAAGGUCAGGUCACCAAUCAGUCAGUCCUGGUUAGGCCUGAGAAAGAGUUUGAUCACCUCUCAUUAGUUAAGGCCACCUGUGAGGGAAGGGAGUUGGAAUGUUUAACCUCUGAGUGCCUGCUGAAUAAUUGUGUGAGUGUUUGUAACUGAUGGUAAAAGCAGUAGACCAUUCUAUCUGUGCUCCAUGGUGACCUCAGAGCUACAAAGCUUGAUUUGGUCCCACCUGACUGGAACCUGCAGUUCUGUGGACACAUCUAGUAAGGAAAAAACAGAGGACCUACCAACACUUCUCCAUAAUCUGGGCAGACUCAGUGUUCCUGAGAGGCAAGAGACAAGUGGCAUCUGGAUGAUCUCUUUUUGAGGGGCACCUACCCUUUGUCUUUUGCGCCACCAUUUAAGGGUAUACCACAUUAAACCAUAGGGAGAUAGAAUGGAUACAAGCCAGAGUAAACUUACAGUCCUUGAUUGUACGCUGAAAAACUUCAAGAGAGGAUUCCCUGAUGACUAUGAAGUAAAAAUGAAACCUCAGAGGCUCCAGACAUACUACGAGAUCGACUGGCCUAUGUCCAGAUUGGCUGCCUGAAGGAAGUCUCGAUGUCAAGACUGUCCAGUAAGUCUAACAUGGCAUUAAAAAUUCCAAGAUUGGCUUCUCUGACCCAUUUCCUUACAUUGAUUCUUGGCUUAACCUGUGUCAAAGCCUGCCUCCUUGGCUUUGUGCCAUACAUGACAAAAAGACCAUUCUGAUCAUCAAGACAAAUUCCUGCAACCACCCAAAACUUUCUCAGGCCAGCCUUAAGCUAGAGAAACUUUAUCCUGAAGACCCUGAGUCUGAUCUGCCGCCUACUUACAUUUUAUGGGCCCCAAACUGCCCAGCUAGCCUUGGUGCCCCCUCCAUUGAUCCAGGUAUUCCCAUGACUGUCCUAGGGUGAAGGUGCCUUUCCAGAUUGUGCAAUGCUGCCAUCCCUGCUACAGCCAGCACCACUGCCACUAGAGCUGAGUCUGCUCCUGCUGCCACAACCAGAGCUGCUGCUACCGCCCCUCAGCCUCCCAGUUUCCAUAGCACCACUGUCAUCACUGACACCAUUCACACCUCAGAACCCACACAUGUUUUCAUCUGCUCCAGCUGCAUGCUGUAGUGGUACCUUGGCUCCAUCAGCAUUCCUGAUUCACUAGACCCACACUGCCUACCCUAAAUCCUGCUUCAGAAUCUCUCCCAUCGUCUAGAGGUCUACAUUUGCUGCAGUUUCCUACCAUCCCAGCUUCUACUGCUCCACUGCCAAGAACUGCUACAGUGCCUCCUGAACUCCAGAUUGAUUUCUCAUCAGGUGCUAUCUUUGCUGCUCAGAUUAGGGCUCCAGCUUAUUUCUAGCUGCUGCUUUGUGUCUACCCUGGAGCCCAAGGAGGCAUACCCAACCAGCAGACCUUGAUGUAUUUUCAGCUAUUCAGUUCCACUGAAUUAGAAGCAUCAUAACCCAUCUUACUCAGAGAAGCCCCAGGCAAUGACUGACCUCCUUAUAUUCAUCUUCCAGACCCACCUGUCAACAUGGGAUGACUAUCAACAACUCCUUCUGACCUUGUUUAAUACUGAAGAAUGCCACCACAUUCUAGAUGGGGCCCAAACCUGGCUAAAAUCAAAAGCCCCCUCCACUGUGGUUGAUCUUGAUUCUUGGGUAGGCACAGCCUUCCCCCAAGUAUGUCCAAACUGGGACUGCAAUAUGACACCAGGCCAUGAGGCCUUAGAUCAAUACUGCACAUCUCUCUUCACAGGACUCAAGGAAGGAGGCAAAAAGCCAAUAAACAUGUAACCAAAGUCACUCAAAAACCCAAUGAAAGUCCAGCCAAAUUUUUUGAGAGACACUGUGAAGCUUACGGAUCUAUACGCCAUUUGAUCCAGAGGUGCCUGAAAAUCAGCAGAUGGUCAAGGCUGCCUUCAUUGCACAAUCAGCCUCUAACGUCAGAAGGAAAACACAAAAGUUUGAUGACUUUGUUGGCGUGAACAUUUCCAAGUUACUUCACGUUGAUCAGAAGGCUUAUGUAAACCAAGGAAGAGGAAAAGCAGGAACAAUGAUAUAAGGCAGAUCGCAGAGCCCAAUAGAAAGCUGUUCUCUGGGCUAUAAUGUUAGGAAAGCCUGUUCCUGAAGUUUCUCAUCAAGGCCGGUCCCACCGUGGCAACAAAUAUAAGGGGUCCCCACAAACCUUACAAUCUAAAACUAUCAGGAGAACUUAUAGCCUGGCAGCUGACCACUGUGUUUUCUGAAGACAUUUUGGACACUGGAAAGAUAAAUGCCCUCUCUGUCUGUGGUACACAAAGAAACCUGAUUAUCUGGGACCACCUAAGCCUGAGCCUCUCCUCUCUCUCUCUGAUGACAAUGAGUAGACAGAGUGGGCUCCAUUAGAUUGGGCCCCUGGGAGGCCAUGGUCAUUGCCAGAAUCAAAGGGAAAGCCUAAUAUUUUUAUGCUGGACAGUGGGACUAAACAUUCAGUUGUGACUCAGUCUCUUUCUCCUUUAACCUCAUGGUAAAUCUAAGUUAUUGACACCUCUGGAGCCCCAUUGAAAAGAAAUUCUGUCAAAGCAGAUCCUGCAAGAUCAGUGGGCAUUAUAUCAAACGUGAAUUCUUAUACAUGGCUUAGUGCCCUAUCUCUAUUCUGGGACGUGAUCUUUCCAAGUUGGGAACAGCUAUCCCUUUUGAUCCAAAUCAGCCGGCCUCCCUCAUACUCAGGUCCACUGUUCCUAACUUGAUAUUGACUAUGAUUGUACCCCAAGAGGAGAAAUGGCACCUACAUCAGCCUGAAAUGCCUGGUUAUCAUAAUCCUGAGGUUUUGAGAGAAUUUUUCCCAGAAGUAUGGGCAGAGGACUCACCUCCAGGGCUUGCGAUUAAUCAUGCCCCUUUGGUGAUUGAACUCUGUCCUAUUGCAACCUCCAUUGCUGUUAAGCAGUACUGUAUGUCACUAGAGGCUUAGCUUGGCAUCCAGCCCCAUAUCUCUCGAAGUAGUUUAGAAUCCUGGUAAACUGCCAGUCACCUUGGAACACUCCCUUCCUCCUGGUGAGAAAGUCAAACAGGAACUACUGGCCAGGGCCUCUGUGCCAUCAACUCACCUACCACAGCUCUGCACCAAUAGUCCCCAACCUUUAUACUCUCUGGGUCUGCAUUUUUCUGAUGUUGCCUGGUUCACCUGUAUGGACUUAAACGAUGCUUUCUUCUGUUUGCAAGUGUUUGCAAACUUAGUAACAUGGUUGUCAAUCCUAUACACUUAAACAUAUAUGCAGUUAUCCAGUCAACCCUUAUUUGCCUUUGAAUGAGAGGACCAGAGAUGUGAUGGAAAGCCCAACUUCCCUGGACCAGUUUACCACAAGGUUUCAAGAACUCCCCCACAUUCUUUGGGAAAGCACUGGCUGCUGAUUUAGCCCAGUUUCAACAUGCAGAGUUUAACUAUACCCUCAGACAAUAUGCCCACGACAUACUAAUCUGAAAUUCAAGAUAGACUGCAGGAAGGGAACACAGGCCCUUCUUUCUCAUUUGGCUUUCUUAUCUGACUAUAAGGUCUCCUGGAAAAAGUCUGAAAUAUGUAAACAAAAAUUACAUUAUUUGGAAUUUAACUUAGAAAAAGGACUCAGGUACCUGGGCCCUGAGAGAAAAGAAGUCAUCUCUUCCAUUCCAAGACCUGAGGAUAAAAGACAGCUUAGAGGAUUCCUGGGCACUGUGGGCUUCUGUCAAAUUUGGAUACCAGGGUUUGAUGAAAAGGCUAAGCCUCUAGUGUAUCUAUGUGAUACACUAGCAGGAAAAGAAAAUGAAAAAGAGCUGUUAAAUUGAACUUUAGAACAGACUAAAUCCUUUCAGACCAUAAAAUGGACAGUGUCAAGCAACCCCAGCACUAGGUAUCCCUGAUGUGACCAGACCUGUUCAUUGAGGAAUGGAGACACCAGGAUAUAAUUUAAUGGCAGGAAGAAGGUGUGUCUCGUUCUCUUGCCAGUUUCUGCCUUGCUGUUUGCAGCCACCAUGAACUGCGGCCCUGCCAUGCCACCCUGCCUUGGAGCCAACCGAGUAUGGAUUAAAACCUCUAAAAACUGUAAGAAAUAAAACUUUCCUUUCCCCA